Molecule: long non-coding RNA, 2805 nt
Organism: Ictalurus punctatus (channel catfish)
Lineage: Eukaryota; Metazoa; Chordata; Actinopteri; Siluriformes; Ictaluridae
Source: Ensembl
AAAAUGAUGCAAUAAUUAUUCACUUGGUCUUCUUUCUGAACACAAAGGCCUAUCUGAAAAAGUGCAGACAAGGAUGAUGUCAUUCUGAACAAUACUGUCUCAUUGUGACUACGAUUCCAAAUGGAGGAAUAAUCAAAAUCACAGAUAACGUAUUACACACACUCGAUACCUACACAAAUCAUACAGCGGUGCAAUUGCAUGCAUUGUCUUGGAACAGCACACACACUUAAACACAUGCUCUGCUUCUUGAAAAACAAAACUUGUAUAUUUGCCAGGUGUUUGUGUGUUUGUGCUUUGUGCUGUUUGUGUUCCAUAGAUUAGAAUGAGCUCAGUAUCCUCUAAUAUUCUCUGUACAACCAAAACCACUAUUUAGCUGAACACCACUAGUUGCCUGUUACCAUAGAAACCCUUAAAGCUGCUCUCUGGUGUUUACCAUCGGCAGGAAAUGGGGAGAAAGCAACUCAAAACUGUGAACUUACCCACAAAAUGUUGUCAACAGCAAAUUUUGGUAAAAGAGAUCCUUUGGAGAUCCGUUGUGUAGCCUGGCUGCUCACUAGCACCACCUGUUGUACGGAAACAAUUUGAGCUGCUUUUAUGGAGGUUUCCGCUUCCACUUUAUCCACAGCACAUUUUGUGUGAGAUCAAAUGGUGGUAGGGAGGAGGGUCAUCUGUGUGCAAUGUACUUGUACGGUGUGGGUAAAGAAAAUAAGUUAUGAUGGGGGUAAAAAAGGAUGUUUUGGUUUCAAACCCUCAACUAAUCUGGUGACUAUUCACAAGACAUGAUGAUUGUGUCUGUGUGUGUGUGUGUGUGUGUGCGUAUUUCCCACAGUCACAUUAACUAUAUAUUGCUCAUAUAGCAUGUUAUUUAAAGUAGAGUUUGUUCAUUUUAAAGUAAAAACACUAAGCUGCUUAUUAUAAUGACAUCAGCAUUACCCAUCAGCCCUUUCUGCUGAUGUAGGGUUGUUUUAGGUUAGAUGACAAAUAACAGAUGAUAACUCCUUCCUCCUCUAGAGCUAAGUCAGCCAAUUACAGUAUUCCUAUGCUGUUAAUAAAGAUGCAGGCUGUGCUCCAAUUCUCAUACUACUGUACACAAGCAGCAUCACAGAAAGUGGAAUAGUGGGGUUGACUACCCACUCUCUUGGACUACUUCUGUGGUUCCAAACAUGGCAUCUUGUUCACUAUUAUUAUUUCCCUGAGUGGUUUGUGCUGCUGGCUUGUAUGAGUUUGAAUGAAAAUAAUGAGUCAGCGCACUAGAACGGUGAACUGGUGACUUUGGUUUUCACCACUAGAUGGCAGCUUGGUGUCGUGAAAGAACCUUGAAGCAAUCAUACUUAAUGUUGAGUUAAACUAUCACUAUUCCAUUACAACGAGAGAAAGUGAUUUCAUGAAAAGUGUAGUUUCUCACAUAUAUAGCUACAAUGAGGUGCUCUCUUUGUAUUCGUCCCUUCCCAAAAGUAUCUGGCGCAUGAUUUUCUGGUCAGUAACACAGUGGCUUGGUUUUAUUUUUUAAAAUGCAGAAUGAUGAAAUAUUAAUCAAACAUACUCAUAUGUUCUAGUUUUUCUACAGUGUUGGGUUUUAGGGGGUAAAGUUCUAACACUCUGGUAAUGAGGAUUGUAUAUAUGAAUAAAUAAAUAAAUAAAUAAAUAAAAGUCAAUAAUGUCACACAAAUAGGGCCAUUUGAGAAAUUUCAAGCAACAAUCCUAGGCAACAUUCUCAGAAAAUAAAAGUACCAAAAUGUACUUUUCCUCAUCACCAGUCUGGUUCCAUCAAUAAUGGACAUAUUGUAAAUGUCUUAUGUGUCUUUUCUUUAUUAAGAUGCACAAGUGGUGAAUGGUUUACCUUUAGCUUUUAUAGUAAAACUUUAAAAGUAGUGGUCCUUAAGAUCCGAUUAUGUACCUAAAGGUACAAAAGAUGUACCUUGAUAGUACCACACCAUCAGCAAAGAAAAUUACAGUGUAUUUCUAAGAGUAAAUUUCAGAUUCUUUUGGACCCCUUCGCAACCUAUUUUCCCUCUGCAAUCAGUUCCACUAGCUAUUAUCAGUUCCUUAAGAUAUAAGAUAAGAGUGUAUAUGGGUGAAUAGUUUUGUCUAUUUAUAAUGUUUCAUGAUGUAAAGAACGGUUAUGCCUGUUUCUGUUCAUUUGCAUGACUUAAAAAAAAAGAUGUGUAGCUGAGUGUUUUGCCAAUACAGUAGACAGGAAGCACAUUGGCACAUCUAAUGUUCUUAUGACAUAUUUAAGAUGUAAUAAGCUAAUAUGUAGUGGUGAAUUGUGCUGAGAUUGACAUUUGUAAUAUAACCAUUCUUCUGAAAACUGGAGAAAAAAAGUGUGUAUAUUUUGAGGUAUAUGUUCUUUUCCUUUUUAAACCAUAUUUAAGGACUUGGUCUGAAACUCUCCCUGUGUGAAAUGACAUGUUUUCUCUUUUAACUAUGUUUUUUUUUUUUUUUUUCUAAAAAAAAAAAUUAUAAUAAUAACCAAAUGACCCAGACCAGCUCACUGAUUUCCUUGCCUUGUGACUCUUCUCAUAUUCUGAGAGACAGAGUGUGUGUGUGUGUGUGUGUGUGUGUGUGUGUGUGUGUACUGUAUGUGCGCUUGUACAUGCAUGUGUUUGACACAUUAACAUGAGUAUGUGUGUUUUUUGUGUGUCUACUGUUAGAUGUUGUAACUGUAAACCAUUGCUUAAAAGUGGGACUUCAUUGUCUGGAGAGGUCAAAGGUUGAAGGCCAAAGUUGAUGUGGAACACUGUAGUGACUUUUCCUAUUUCUAUGUGGUUUGUUGCAUCAGACUGUAUUUGAUUAACACAAAGA